CUCCGCCCUGGAGACGGGAAAAGCGCCCGGAGCUCGGGAAAGGCCGCGGGGGAACCGCCGGGACAGCGGGUCCUGCCCCUCUGCUCCGCCCUGGAGAGGCCGCGGCUGCGGUGCUGUGCCCAGCUCGGGGCUCCGGGAGUUCCAGAGCCCAUGGCAGUGGCUGCCUUUGAGGGCUUUGCACAAGAUCAGGAUAAUUUGGGAAACUUUCCUGGUGUUUAACUGAUGUCCUGACCUGUCUCAACGAAUCUAUUUCAGGUCGCAGGAAGACGGAUUCUUCAGGCACUUUCCCCACCACAGGCUGCGGAUCCCAAGGCCAUUGAACCCUCUGGGACCUGGACACUGGAGCUCCCGUCCUGCCUUCUCCCUUAUCUCUGUGUUUGGCAGGUGUCUGGCCAUGGAUUUCACACUUCCACUGACCUCUGAGCGCUGCCAAGGCGAGGGAGGCACAUCGGGCAGAUAACGUCCCCAUUCCACCUCCACCUCCCCAAGGCCCUUAGGCUCUGGGGAGACUUAUUUAAAAAUAUGCCAGAUUUAAGGUCUGUCUCAAGGCAAAUAAAAACUGUGGAUUGUUUAAAUCA
RNAcentral lists this long non-coding RNA (578 nucleotides) under Parus major (Great Tit). RNAcentral describes it as "lncRNA (ENSPMJG00000001374.1)". Lineage: Eukaryota; Metazoa; Chordata; Aves; Passeriformes; Paridae. The record is from RNAcentral.